GAAGAGAAGACUUCUUUUCUCGAUUUCUUCUCGUUCACACACUGGCAUCGGGUGAUAAAGUUGUUUCUGUAUAUUUUGCACGCCUUGCAUCAUCUAAGUUUGUUUCUAAAUUGUUGUAAAAUUUAGUGAGUGUACGUUAGUUGUGGACCAGCCUAUUUGUCUCACUUAUAUAAUAAAAAAGACGAAUCUAGGAUUGUGAUUUUUAGUGACUUUGGUGUUUUACAAAUUCUUUUUGGUUAGCCGGUAGGAUAUUAGGAUGGCCCAAUCAAAAUUUACUGAUAUGGCUAAUCGAUUAGGAAAUAAUCCAAAGGGCUUAGGGACUGGCUUGAAAAUACUUGCUGCUGCUGGUGCAGCAGUGUAUGGAAUAAGUCAGUCAAUGUUCACAGUUGAAGGUGGUCACAGAGCUAUCAUAUUCAGCAGGUUAGGUGGUAUCCAGAACGACAUCUAUACAGAAGGACUACAUUUUAGGAUACCAUGGUUCCAGUAUCCAAUCAUUUACGAUAUCAGGUCCAGGCCAAGGAAAAUUUCUUCUCCCACUGGCUCAAAAGAUUUACAGAUGGUAUCAAUAGGUCUCCGAGUCCUGUCACGACCAAACGCUUCCAAGCUCCCAGAGAUGUAUCGACAGUUAGGUCUGGACUACGAUGAGAAAGUGUUGCCGUCAAUCUGUAACGAAGUCCUUAAAUCAGUCGUUGCCAAAUUCAAUGCCUCACAGUUAAUAACAAUGAGACAACAGGUAUCAUUGAAAGUGAGACAAGAGCUGAUAGAGAGAGCCCAAGACUUCAACAUCAUUCUAGAUGAUGUUUCCAUCACAGAACUGAGCUUCGGCAAGGAGUACACAGCUGCAGUAGAGGCCAAACAGGUAGCUCAACAAGAAGCGCAGAGGGCAGUCUUCGUAGUCGAGAGAGCAAAACAAGAAAGACAACAAAAAAUUUUCCAAGCUGAGGGUGAAGCAGAAGCUGCCAAGAUGUUGGGUAUAGCUGUUGGACAGAACCCUGGUUACCUGAAACUGAGGAAAAUCAGAGCAGCUCAGAGCAUUUCUCGAACGAUUGCCAACUCCCAGAACAAGGUCUACCUCAGUGGAUCUGCUCUUAUGUUGAACAUCAACGACCCUGCUUUUGACGACCUCAGUGAGAAGCUUAAAAAUUCCGUUUUACAAUAGAAAUUCUCAUGUACUUGAACAUUUUCAAACAGUGGAUUAUAGUGUCUGCGGAGAGAGAGAGAGCUGUGUAAAAAGAUGUAAUUAAGAUGAAACAGCAUGUCUCACCAAAACGCAAUGGACAAAAAUCCACACCGUUUUUAAUACUGCUGAGUUGUGUAUAAUAAAAAAUUCCGUAAUGAUUUUUGCA
This 1346-nucleotide unclassified non-coding RNA is filed under the name Homalodisca vitripennis (glassy-winged sharpshooter). Its description in RNAcentral is "prohibitin-2-like, transcript variant X1". The record is from RNAcentral. Lineage: Eukaryota; Metazoa; Arthropoda; Insecta; Hemiptera; Cicadellidae.